UGCCAGCAGCCGCGGUAAUACGAACCGGACAAACGUUAUUCGGAAUCACUGGGCUUAAAGAGUACGUAGGCGGCUAUACAAGUUGGGUGUGAAAUCCCACGGCUCAACCGUGGAACUGCGCUCAAAACUGUAUAGCUAGAGGGAGACAGGGGUGAGCGGAACUGAUGGUGGAGCGGUGAAAUGCGUUGAUAUCAUCAGGAACACCGGUGGCGAAGGCGGCUCACUGGGUCUCUUCUGACGCUGAGGUACGAAAGCUAGGGUAGCGAACGGGAUUAGAUA
This 279-nucleotide ribosomal RNA is filed under the name uncultured bacterium. RNAcentral's name for it is "partial 16S ribosomal RNA". It matches the Rfam family "Bacterial small subunit ribosomal RNA", at positions 506 to 784 of the family's 1533-position model. The record is from RNAcentral.